Molecule: ribosomal RNA, 703 nt
Filed under: uncultured bacterium
Lineage: Bacteria
Description: bacterial SSU rRNA
Rfam family: Bacterial small subunit ribosomal RNA
Source: RNAcentral
GAGUUUGAUCCUGGCUCAGAAUCAGCGCUGGCGGCGUGCCUAACACAUGCAAGUCGAACGAGAAAGUGGAGCAAUCCAUGAGUAAAGUGGCGUACGGGUGAGUAACACGUGACUAACCUACCCUUGAGUGGGGGAUAACUUCGGGAAACCGAGGCUAAUACCGCAUAAUACCUUCGGGUCAAAGGAGCAAUUCGCUUAAGGAGGGGGUCGCGGCUGAUUAGCUAGUUGGUAGGGUAAUGGCCUACCAAGGCAAUGAUCAGUAUCCGGCCUGAGAGGGCGCACGGACACACUGGAACUGAAACACGGUCCAGACUCCUACGGGAGGCAGCAGUGGGGAAUUUUGCACAAUGGGGGAAACCCUGAUGCAGCAACGCCGCGUGGAGGAUGAAGUCCCUUGGGAUGUAAACUCCUUUCGACCGGGACGAUAAUGACGGUACCGGUAGAAGAAGCCCCGGCUAACUCUGUGCCAGCAGCCGCGGUAAUACAGAGGGGGCAAGCGUUGUUCGGAAUUAUUGGGCGUAAAGGGUGCGUAGGCGGUGCGGUAAGUCUUCUGUGAAAUCUCCGGGCUCAACUCGGAGUCUGCAGGAGAAACUGCCGUGCUUGAGUAUGGGAGAGGUGAGUGGAAUUCCUGGUGUAGCGGUGAAAUGCGUAGAUAUCAGGAGGAACACCUGUGGCAAAAGCGGCUCACUGGACCAUAACUGAC